UGGGGAAUAUUGCACAAUGGGCGCAAGCCUGAUGCAGCCAUGCCGCGUGUAUGAAGAAGGCCUUCGGGUUGUAAAGUACUUUCAGCGAGGAGGAAGGCGUUGUGGUUAAUAACCGCAGCGAUUGACGUUACUCGCAGAAGAAGCACCGGCUAACUCCGUGCCAGCAGCCGCGGUAAUACGGAGGGUGCAAGCGGUAAUAGGAAUUACUGGGCGUAAAGCGCACGCAGGCGGUCUGUCAAGUCGGAUGUGAAAUCCCCGGGCUCAACCUGGGAACUGCAUCCGAAACUGGCAGGCUAGAGUCUUGUAGAGGGGGGUAGAAUUCCAGGUGUAGCGGUGAAAUGCGUAGAGAUCUGGAGGAAUACCGGUGGCGAAGGCGGCCCCCUGGACAAAGACUGACGCUCAGGUGCGAAAGCGUGGGGAGCAAACA
Molecule: ribosomal RNA, 427 nt
Filed under: uncultured bacterium
Lineage: Bacteria
Description: partial 16S ribosomal RNA
Rfam family: Bacterial small subunit ribosomal RNA
Source: RNAcentral